GCAGUCGAGCGAACUGAUUAGAAGCUUGCUUCUAUGACGUUAGCGGCGGACGGGUGAGUAACACGUGGGCAACCUGCCUGUAAGACUGGGAUAACUUCGGGAAACCGAAGCUAAUACCGGAUAGGAUCUUCUCCUUCAUGGGAGAUGAUUGAAAGAUGGUUUCGGCUAUCACUUACAGAUGGGCCCGCGGUGCAUUAGCUAGUUGGUGAGGUAACGGCUCACCAAGGCAACGAUGCAUAGCCGACCUGAGAGGGUGAUCGGCCACACUGGGACUGAGACACGGCCCAGACUCCUACGGGAGGCAGCAGUAGGGAAUCUUCCGCAAUGGACGAAAGUCUGACGGAGCAACGCCGCGUGAGUGAUGAAGGCUUUCGGGUCGUAAAACUCUGUUGUUAGGGAAGAACAAGUACGAGAGUAACUGCUCGUACCUUGACGGUACCUAACCAGAAAGCCACGGCUAACUACGUGCCAGCAGCCGCGGUAAUACGUAGGUGGCAAGCGUUAUCCGGAAUUAUUGGGCGUAAAGCGCGCGCAGGCGGUUUCUUAAGUCUGAUGUGAAAGCCCACGGCUC
RNAcentral lists this ribosomal RNA (571 nucleotides) under Bacillus sp. (in: firmicutes). Its description in RNAcentral is "bacterial SSU rRNA". It matches the Rfam family "Bacterial small subunit ribosomal RNA", at positions 57 to 610 of the family's 1533-position model. The record is from RNAcentral. Lineage: Bacteria; Bacillati; Bacillota; Bacilli; Caryophanales; Bacillaceae.